RNAcentral lists this ribosomal RNA (445 nucleotides) under uncultured bacterium. RNAcentral's name for it is "partial 16S ribosomal RNA". It matches the Rfam family "Bacterial small subunit ribosomal RNA", at positions 354 to 796 of the family's 1533-position model. The record is from RNAcentral.
GUAGGGAAUAUUGGGCAAUGGAUGCAAGUCUGACCCAGCCAUCCUGCGUGCCGGAAGAAGGCCCUCAGGGUUGUAAACGGCUUUUGACGGUGAAGAAUCGACAGGAUGCGUCCUGUUUUGACGGUAGCCGUUGAAUAAGCACCGGCUAACUCCGUGCCAGCAGCCGCGGUAAUACGGAGGGUGCGAGCGUUGUCCGGAUUUAUUGGGUUUAAAGGGUGCGUAGGCUGGAAGGUCAGUCAGCGGUGAAAAGCUGUCGCUUAACGAUAGUCUUGCCGCAGAUACUUCCUUUCUUGGAUGAGGAGGAGGCCACUGGAACGGAUGGUGUAGCGGUGAAAUGCAUAGAUAUCAUCCAGAACACCGAUUGCGAAGGCAGGUGGCUGUACCUUAAUCGACGCUGAUGCACGAAAGCAUGGGGAGCAAACAGGAUUAGAAACCCGUGUAGUCC